GAUGAACGCUGGCGGCGUGCCUAAUACAUGCAAGUCGAGCGAACAGACGAGGAGCUUGCUCCUCUGACGUUAGCGGCGGACGGGUGAGUAACACGUGGAUAACCUACCUAUAAGACUGGGAUAACUUCGGGAAACCGGAGCUAAUACCGGAUAAUAUAUUGAACCGCAUGGUUCAAUAGUGAAAGACGGUUUUGCUGUCACUUAUAGAUGGAUCUGCGCCGCAUUAGCUAGUUGGUAAGGUAACGGCUUAUCAAGGCAACGAUGCGUAGCCGACCUGAGAGAGUGAUCGGCCACACGGGAACUGGGACGCAGUCCAGACUCCUGCGAGAGGCAGCAGUAGGGUAUCUUACGCAGUGGGCGAGAGCCUGACAGAGCAGCGCCAAGUGAGAGAUGAAGGUCUUCGGAUCGUAAAACUCUGUUAUUAGGGAAGAACAAAUGUGUAAGUAACUAUGCACGGCUUGACGGUACCUAAUCAGAAAGCCACGGCUAACUACGUG
This 497-nucleotide ribosomal RNA is filed under the name uncultured bacterium. RNAcentral's name for it is "partial 16S ribosomal RNA". It matches the Rfam family "Bacterial small subunit ribosomal RNA", at positions 28 to 507 of the family's 1533-position model. The record is from RNAcentral.